AUGCAGUCCAUGUGUCCGCGCCCGGCCUGGCUGCACGCUCGUCUGCGUGAGAGCGCUCUGUUUCACUUCAUGCAAAACAUUGUAAUGAAGAACAUCUUUUUAAGAAGCUGCAAGAACUCCGCGGGAGUCUUCGAUCCGCUGACCCGCCCGCUGCCCUUCCCCGCGGAGCCCGGCCUCGUCAGCGAUCUGCGCCUCCCCGAAGCCUUGAAAUGACACACGGGUUUCCAAUAGACGCUCAGAGGGCACUCGGCACUGACCAGCUCCGUGAGGAUCGUCCCGGGAGAUUUCCCAACAGCAGCAGUAAAUACAAGUCCUUGGAAGUGGAUUUUUCCGUCUAAGACAGAGGCUGGGUCACAUAUCACAUCUCGUUGAGCGGCUGGGUUAUCUGACUUACAUAAAAAACCCUCGGAGUCGCCGUCGCUCUGUGGCAAGUCUCUUGGCUCCUCUGAA
This 450-nucleotide long non-coding RNA is filed under the name Oryctolagus cuniculus (rabbit). RNAcentral describes it as "lncRNA (ENSOCUG00000031067.1)". Lineage: Eukaryota; Metazoa; Chordata; Mammalia; Lagomorpha; Leporidae. The record is from RNAcentral.